AUUGAACGCUGGCGGCAUGCUUUACACAUGCAAGUCGAACGGCAGCACAGGGAGCUUGCUCCCGGGUGGCGAGUGGCGCACGGGUGAGUAAUACAUCGGAACGUGUCCUGUUGUGGGGGAUAACUGCUCGAAAGGGUGGCUAAUACCGCAUGAGACCUGAGGGUGAAAGCGGGGGAUCGCAAGACCUCGCGGCAAUUGGAGCGGCCGAUGCCCGAUUAGCUAGUUGGUGAGGUAAAGGCUCACCAAGGCGACGAUCGGUAGCUGGUCUGAGAGGACGACCAGCCACACUGGGACUGAGACACGGCCCAGACUCCUACGGGAGGCAGCAGUGGGAAUUUGGACAAUGGGGGGCAACCCUGAUCCAGCCAUGCCGCGUGCAGGAUGAAGGCC
RNAcentral lists this ribosomal RNA (390 nucleotides) under uncultured bacterium. Its description in RNAcentral is "bacterial SSU rRNA". It matches the Rfam family "Bacterial small subunit ribosomal RNA", at positions 29 to 416 of the family's 1533-position model. The record is from RNAcentral.